This is a small nuclear RNA of Octodon degus (degu), 140 nucleotides long. Its record names the gene U4. It matches the Rfam family "U4 spliceosomal RNA". Rfam says of the family: U4 small nuclear RNA (U4 snRNA) is a component of the major U2-dependent spliceosome. The structure of U4 snRNA from yeast and human has been reported. The record is from Ensembl. NCBI's taxonomy places the organism in Eukaryota, Metazoa, Chordata, Mammalia, Rodentia, Octodontidae.
AGCUUUGCACAGUGGCCAUGUCGUAGCCAAGGAGGUUCAUCCGAGGUGCGAUUAUUGCUAAUCGAAAUCUUUUCCCAAUACCCGCCAUGACGACUGGAAAUAUAGUCGGCAUUGGUAAUUUUUGACGGUCUCUAUGGAGA